UUGCCUUCUCAUGGAUAGGAAAUUUCGAUUAACCAUGGAAAAACGAUGCAGCACCAUCAGCAGAUUCAGCAGCCUUUGCAGAUUCAGCUAUUCUAAGUGCCAUC
Long non-coding RNA from Ipomoea nil (Japanese morning glory), 104 nucleotides. RefSeq lists it as uncharacterized. The transcript has 4 exons. The record is from RefSeq and is a predicted model, not a curated record. Lineage: Eukaryota; Viridiplantae; Streptophyta; Magnoliopsida; Solanales; Convolvulaceae.